Clarias gariepinus (North African catfish) is the source of this 619-nucleotide long non-coding RNA. RefSeq lists it as uncharacterized. Lineage: Eukaryota; Metazoa; Chordata; Actinopteri; Siluriformes; Clariidae. The record is from RefSeq and is a predicted model, not a curated record. The transcript has 3 exons.
UUCGCCAGUGACCUCCUCGGUUUCGACCAUUUAACUACAGGAAAAUGCUGAUGACGUUUCCCGUGUGUGUGUGUGCGCGCGCGGUUGUGCGUGUGCGUGCGUGCGUGCGUGAUAUGGGGGUAGUUUCCCUUCUGCUUACUGUCACAGCAGCCGCACAGACGGGGUUUCUGCCAUCGGAGAGCUUUCUGAAGGCCAGCCGGGCCAUUGGUGGCUCAUUGGUAGGUUUCUCAUCUGCCAUGCUGAAGGCCCAGGUUCGAUACCCAGCCACGGGAUGCAGUGCCGGUCCCAAGUCUGGAUAAAAUUGGAAGGGCAUCUGGCAAAAAACCUGUGAAACCAGCCCGGCCCUGAAUAACCAUCUUUCGGCAGCUGUGUCACAAGAUCCCAGACGCAAGGUCACCCUGCCGAGAGACAGACAGGUGUGCGCAGCCACAGGAACAAAUCAGUCUCAGUGCAUUGCUCACAACUACCUGACACACUUAGCUUAGCUUACCUACUCACCCUGAGUCUGACAGAUGAUGAACUGCUGCAAGCCAUUAACUUUUGCUUCUUAUUCACUAAAGCUUAAAAUAGUUAAAUCUGAGUGCAUGUAUUUUAUAAAAACCAGGAGUUUUGCAAAAGU